This 74-nucleotide transfer RNA is filed under the name Methanobrevibacter sp. Its description in RNAcentral is "tRNA-Ile". It matches the Rfam family "tRNA". Rfam says of the family: Transfer RNA (tRNA) molecules are approximately 80 nucleotides in length. Their secondary structure includes four short double-helical elements and three loops (D, anti-codon, and T loops). The record is from RNAcentral. Lineage: Archaea; Methanobacteriati; Methanobacteriota; Methanobacteria; Methanobacteriales; Methanobacteriaceae.
GGAAUCUUAGCUCAACGGUCAAGAGCACCCGGCUCAUAACCGGGCGGUUCUGGGUUCGAAUCCCAGAGAUUCCA